UAGGGAAUCUUCGGCAAUGGACGAAAGUCUGACCGAGCAACGCCGCGUGAGUGAAGAAGGGUUUCGGCUCGUAAAGCUCUGUUGUUAAAGAAGAACACGUAUGAGAGUAACUGUUCAUACGUUGACGGUAUUUAACCAGAAAGUCACGGCUAACUACGUGCCAG
RNAcentral lists this ribosomal RNA (164 nucleotides) under uncultured bacterium. RNAcentral's name for it is "partial 16S ribosomal RNA". It matches the Rfam family "Bacterial small subunit ribosomal RNA", at positions 355 to 511 of the family's 1533-position model. The record is from RNAcentral.